This 424-nucleotide unclassified non-coding RNA is filed under the name uncultured Agaricomycetes. RNAcentral's name for it is "sequence contains ITS2". The stretch from base 1 to 154 matches the Rfam family "5.8S ribosomal RNA". The record is from RNAcentral. Lineage: Eukaryota; Fungi; Basidiomycota; Agaricomycetes.
AACUUUUAGCAACGGAUCUCUUGGUUCUCGCAUCGAUGAAGUACGCAGCGAAUUGCGAUAUGUAAUGUGAAUUGCAGAAUUCAGUGAAUCAUCGAAUCUUUGAACGCACCUUGCACCCUUUGGUAUUCCGAAGGGUAUGCCUGUUUGAGUGUCAUUAAAUUCUCAACUUCAUAUAUUUGAAGCUUGGAUUAUGGAGGUUAUUUGCCGGCGUCAUUGUCAGCUCCUCUUAAAUGCAUUAGCGGAACUUUUGAAAGGGACCAGCAAUUGGUUUGAUAAAUCCUAUCUAGCCAAGCAUUGCUACCUUUAUUAUGAUCUGCUUCUAAUGGUCUUUGGACUGUCUCUAUGAGGCAUAGAAAAAUUUAAACUUGACCUCAAAUCAGGUAGGAUUACCCGCUGAAUUUAAGCAUAUCAAUAAGCGGAGGCU